Molecule: ribosomal RNA, 119 nt
Filed under: Lupinus angustifolius (narrow-leaved blue lupine)
Lineage: Eukaryota; Viridiplantae; Streptophyta; Magnoliopsida; Fabales; Fabaceae
Source: RNAcentral
AGGUGUGAUCAUACCAACACUAAUGCUCUAGAUCCCAUCAGAACUCCAUAAUUAUGCGUGCUUGGGCGAGAGUAGUACUAGGAUGGGUGACAUCCUGAGAUGUCCUUGUGUUGCACUUC